This 621-nucleotide ribosomal RNA is filed under the name bacterium 48-L049640-122-012-H06. RNAcentral's name for it is "bacterial SSU rRNA". It matches the Rfam family "Bacterial small subunit ribosomal RNA", at positions 57 to 691 of the family's 1533-position model. The record is from RNAcentral.
GCAGUCGAACGAUGAUGCCCAGCUUGCUGGGCGGAUUAGUGGCGAACGGGUGAGUAAUACGUGAGUAACCUGCCCCUGACUCUGGGAUAAGCCUGGGAAACCGGGUCUAAUACUGGAUACGACUCCUCAUCGCAUGGUGGGGGGUGGAAAGGGUUCACUGGUUUUGGAUGGGCUCACGGCCUAUCAGCUUGUUGGUGGGGUAAUGGCUCACCAAGGCGACGACGGGUAGCCGGCCUGAGAGGGUGACCGGCCACACUGGGACUGAGACACGGCCCAGACUCCUACGGGAGGCAGCAGUGGGGAAUAUUGCACAAUGGGCGAAAGCCUGAUGCAGCGACGCCGCGUGAGGGAUGACGGCCUUCGGGUUGUAAACCUCUUUCAGUAGGGAAGAAGCGCAAGUGACGGUACCUGCAGAAGAAGCGCCGGCUAACUACGUGCCAGCAGCCGCGGUAAUACGUAGGGCGCAAGCGUUGUCCGGAAUUAUUGGGCGUAAAGAGCUCGUAGGCGGUUUGUCGCGUCCGCUGUGAAAGCCCGGGGCUCAACCCCGGGUCGGCAGUGGGUACGGGCAGACUAGAGUGCAGUAGGGGAGACUGGAAUUCCUGGUGUAGCGGUGAAAUGCGC